This 82-nucleotide transfer RNA is filed under the name Danionella translucida. It matches the Rfam family "tRNA". From Rfam's summary of the family: Transfer RNA (tRNA) molecules are approximately 80 nucleotides in length. Their secondary structure includes four short double-helical elements and three loops (D, anti-codon, and T loops). The record is from Rfam by way of RNAcentral. RNAcentral also lists the same sequence under 1 other name. Lineage: Eukaryota; Metazoa; Chordata; Actinopteri; Cypriniformes; Danionidae.
GGUAGUGUGGCCGAGUGGUCCAAGGUGCUGGAUUUAGACUCCCGUCUUGAAAGAGAUGUGGGUUUUAAUCUCACCACUACCA